UCUAAAGGACAAUCUCAGAACACUGGACUUUAUAUGCCAUUACCAAUCCCAGAAGAUAUUUGGCAAGACUUGUCUAUGGAUUUUGUGCUAGGCUUACCUCGUACACAGCGAGGCGUCGAUUCUGUGUUUGUGGUCGUUGACAGAUUCUCCAAGAUGUCGCAUUUCAUCGCCUGCAAGAAGACUGCAGAUGCCUCUAACAUCGCCAAGUUAUUUUUUCGGGAAGUGGUACGUCUUCAUGGGGUUCCUAAGACAAUAAUUUCCGACAGAGAUACCAAGUUUCUGAGUCACUUCUGGAUUACACUUUGGAGAAUGUUUGGAACCAGCUUGAAACGGAGUUCUACAGCUCAUCCACAGACUGAUGGGCAAACCGAGGUGACGAAUAGAACUUUGGGGAAUAUGAUUCGAAGUGUUUGUGGAGAUAAACCGAAACAAUGGGAUCUGGCUUUACCUCAAGUGGAGUUUGCUUACAACAGUGCCGUGCACUCAGCUACAGGGAAAUCACCUUUUUCUUUGGUCUAUAGGGAAUAGGUGCCGUCUUAUCACAAGAAAAACGACCGAUAGCUUUCUUUAGUGAAAAGUUAAGUGAAGCUCGCCAAAAGUAGAGCACGUAUGAUCAAGAGUUAUAUGCGGUUUUUCGAGCUCUUCGACAAUGGGAGCAUUACUUGGUUCAGAGAGAGUUUGUUCUAUUUACAGACCACCAAGCUCUAAAGUAUCUUCACAGCCAGAAAGUGAUAAAUAAGAUGCAUGCUCGUUGGGUAAGUUUUCUGCAAAAGUUUCCUUUCAUUAUUCAGCAUAAGUCUGGGACUCUUAACAAGGUGGCAGACGCCUUGAGUAGAAGAGCUUCCUUACUCACUAUCUUAGCACAAGAGGUUGUGGGUUUCGAGUUUCUGAAGGAGUUGUAUGAAUGUGAUGUUGAAUUCAAGGAGUUAUGGGGCAAAUGUAAUGGAAAGCAUCCUUCGGCAGAUUUCCACAUACGAGAUGGUUAUCUUUUUAAAGGAGACAGGCUGUGCAUUCCUUGCUCGUCAUUACGAGAAAAGUUGAUUCGCGAUUUGCAUGGUGGUGGCCUUAGUGGUCAUUUGGGAAGAGACAAGACCAUUGCUAGCUUGGAGACAAGGUUUUAUUGGCCAUAUUUAAGGAGAGAUGCGGGUGCUAUAGUUAAAAGGUGUUAUAUCUGUCAGGUUUCUAAAGGACAAUCUCAGAACACUGGACUUUAUAUGCCAUUACCAAUCCCAGAAGAUAUUUGGCAAGACUUGUCUAUGGAUUUUGUGCUAGGCUUACCUCGUACACAGCGAGGCGUCGAUUCUGUGUUUGUGGUCGUUGACAGAUUCUCCAAGAUGUCGCAUUUCAUCGCCUGCAAGAAGACUGCAGAUGCCUCUAACAUCGCCAAGUUAUUUUUUCGGGAAGUGGUACGUCUUCAUGGGGUUCCUAAGACAAUAAUUUCCGACAGAGAUACCAAGUUUCUGAGUCACUUCUGGAUUACACUUUGGAGAAUGUUUGGAACCAGCUUGAAACGGAGUUCUA
RNAcentral lists this long non-coding RNA (1521 nucleotides) under Brassica napus (rape). RNAcentral describes it as "long non-coding RNA (BNAP_LNC005403)". Lineage: Eukaryota; Viridiplantae; Streptophyta; Magnoliopsida; Brassicales; Brassicaceae. The record is from RNAcentral.